RNAcentral lists this ribosomal RNA (301 nucleotides) under uncultured bacterium. RNAcentral's name for it is "partial 16S ribosomal RNA". It matches the Rfam family "Bacterial small subunit ribosomal RNA", at positions 509 to 807 of the family's 1533-position model. The record is from RNAcentral.
CAGUCGCCGCGGUAAAACGUAGGUGGCAAGCGUUAUCCGGAAUUAUUGGGCGUAAAGCGCGCGUAGGCGGUUUUUUAAGUCUGAUGUGAAAGCCCACGGCUCAACCGUGGAGGGUCAUUGGAAACUGGAAAACUUGAGUGCAGAAGAGGAAAGUGGAAUUCCAUGUGUAGCGGUGAAAUGCGCAGAGAUAUGGAGGAACACCAGUGGCGAAGGCGACUUUCUGGUCUGUAACUGACGCUGAUGUGCGAAAGCGUGGGGAUCAAACAGGAUUAGAUACCCCUGUAGUCCCUGUCUCUUAUAC